GAUGAACGCUGGCGGCGUGCCUAAUACAUGCAAGUCGAGCGAAUGGAUUAAGAGCUUGCUCUUAUGAAGUUAGCGGCGGACGGGUGAGUAACACGUGGGUAACCUGCCCAUAAGACUGGGAUAACUCCGGGAAACCGGGGCUAAUACCGGAUAACAUUUUGAACCGCAUGGUUCGAAAUUGAAAGGCGGCUUCGGCUGUCACUUAUGGAUGGACCCGCGUCGCAUUAGCUAGUUGGUGAGGUAACGGCUCACCAAGGCAACGAUGCGUAGCCGACCUGAGAGGGUGAUCGGCCACACCGGGACUGAGACACGGCCCAGACUCCUACGGGAGGCAGCAGUAGGGAAGCUUCCGCAAUGGACGAAAGUCUGACGGAGCAACGCCGCGUGAGUUAUGAAGGCUUUCGGGUCGUAAAACUCUGUUGUUAGGGAAGAACAAGUGCUAGUUGAAUAAGCUGACACCUUGACGGUACCUAACCAGAAAGCCACGGCUAACUACGUGCCAGCCGCCGCGGUAA
This 515-nucleotide ribosomal RNA is filed under the name uncultured bacterium. RNAcentral's name for it is "partial 16S ribosomal RNA". It matches the Rfam family "Bacterial small subunit ribosomal RNA", at positions 28 to 523 of the family's 1533-position model. The record is from RNAcentral.